AGGCUUUGAUCCUGGCUCAGGACGAACGCUGGCGGCAUGCCUAAUACAUGCAAGUCGAACGCCGACGCACUCUGCUUGCAGAGUGUUGAGGAGUGGCGAACGGGUGAGUAACACGUGGAGAACCUGCCCAUAAGAGGGGGAUAACAUCCGGAAACGGGUGCUAAUACCGCAUAGGUGGCUGGAGCGCAUGCUCUAGUCAUGAAAGACGGCUUCGGCUGUCGCUUAUGGAUGGACCCGCGGCGUAUUAGCUAGUUGGUGAGGUAACGGCUCACCAAGGCUAAUGAUACGUAGCCGACCUGAGAGGGUGAUCGGCCACACUGGGACUGAGACACGGCCCAGACUCCUACGGGAGGCAGCAGUAGGGAAUCUUCCACAAUGGGCGAAAGCCUGAUGGAGCAAUACCGCGUGAGUGAAGAAGGUCUUCGGAUCGUAAAGCUCUGUUGUUAGAGAAGAACACGCAGAACAGUAACUGGUUCUGCGCUGACGGUAUCUAACCAGAAAGUCACGGCUAAUAACG
This 517-nucleotide ribosomal RNA is filed under the name uncultured Alkalibacterium sp. Its description in RNAcentral is "bacterial SSU rRNA". It matches the Rfam family "Bacterial small subunit ribosomal RNA", at positions 8 to 505 of the family's 1533-position model. The record is from RNAcentral. Lineage: Bacteria; Bacillati; Bacillota; Bacilli; Lactobacillales; Carnobacteriaceae.